Molecule: long non-coding RNA, 12606 nt
Organism: Varanus komodoensis (Komodo dragon)
Lineage: Eukaryota; Metazoa; Chordata; Lepidosauria; Squamata; Varanidae
Exons: 3
Source: RefSeq, a predicted model, not a curated record
UUUUGUGGUUGAAAUAGAUUAAAAUUAUUAUUUUAAAUCUCAAGAUGAUCAUUCGUGACAUUCAGGGAGCAGAAUAUUCAGAUCAGCAAUGUAUGCAAAGCGUAUGGAGGCUGUUCUUGCAAACCACCUUCUCCCAGCUCCCACACAAGAGUGCAGCUACUUUUACCCUGUAAUUAGUCUUGGCAGGUACAUGACCUCAUGAUUUCUAAUAUGGUGUGGACUAGGAAAAGAAGAGGUGGGUUGCUGAGAGUUCAUUUACAUUUCACCUUCACUGCAUAGCUUGCUCUCAGACAUAUAGGAUAUUCCCGCCUCCCCUCAUUAACCUUGCACGCCAUGCAGCUCUUUCUCCUGAAAAGUAUAAAAACAUUACAAGGUUAAUAUGGAAAUGUAGGUUAAAAAUGUUAUAUGCCACCAGGAAAGGCCAGGAAUUGCUUGGCUGCUACCAAGGGAGAAGACAAUGAGUUUCAGGGGCAAUUGAACACCGAAUUUCCCAUUGUAUCACAGUUAUAGAAACAAAUGUACUGUGAUAAGCAGGGAUUUAGAAAUGUGUUCAUAAUUACAAUACUUAAUCAAAAAACGCAAUCUUGAAAAGCAACAGUAUUUAAAGGCAGAUAAAGCCCAUUGAAUUAAAGAUGUUGCCCGAGUGCAGUCUGUGCUUUUAGUAUAAAUUUGUGGGAAAGCCCCCUUUAUAUUUUAAAAAUGUCAAAUAUGCCUUUUCUCCUAGGCUGAAGGCAAGAAAAAUGAUAAGCAGUAUGUUCUUUGUAGAAGCUGAAGACCGGCAGCACAAAAAUGCCUUCUCUGGAAUAUUAACGAAAAGAUGCUCAAAUGGAAAAUGCGCAUAAGUUGCCAUGUGGAUUAACAGACAUCACAUUUCAGGAAAAUGGAAACACUCUUUUUUAGGAAUAACAUUAUAGAUCUCCAUGCCCAAAGACUUUCACAUACAUUACAACAAUAACCUUCACAACAGCCCUGCGAGGUAGGGCUAUAUUACUGCAGACGGGGGACUGACUGAAGCUGAAAAAGGAAGUUGCUACUUACUCACUUUGUGAAUGAGCUAAUACUUGAAUUGGCUAUUUGCCAAGUUGCAUCCUGGUGUUUAGCAACUGCACUGCACUUUUGUUUCUUCUCUGUUCCUCUUCUCUCACUGACAAAAUUAUUUUUAAGGGUUUCCUAGCUCCUUAGGAGUGUAUUUUGGAUGCCCCCCUAUGGUGCAGGAUAUACCAAAUAUCCCAACUCACACAAGGUAGCUUUUGUCUUCUUUAGCAGAGCCUGACAUUAAAAACAGUCCUAUUUAAGUGACUGGUCUGGCAUCUUGACCUAUGACCUUGUGCCUAUAUAAGCAGUAGGAUAAAGUCUCCUAACAAUUGUAGUGAUGAUUAGGUACUUUGUAAUGUAGGUCAUUUUUCCAUGAAAGAUCCUUAGAUAGCUUUCUGAAGGCCUUGGAAGUUUAAACAUCCUCUUCUGCAUUAACACAUACAAGUUCUCGAAAGAGGAAAAUGACUUUCAGACUCAUAAUCUCAGCCUGUUGAGUGUUCAGCUCAUAUUCUUGGAAAGCAAGCAGAAUGAUCAGCUCAUUUGCAGAAGAUGCUUUUCUCUCCAAGUUGGACAGCAUUUUGGGCAUCCCACAGUAGCUGUGGGGGAUCUUCAGGUAUGGACUCUUACAGGUCUUCCAAAGGCAAACUGAGACACUGUAUGCCCAACUAAGCCUGUGCUGGAAGCCUCACAUCGCCACUUUGCCAUGGGAACAGUGUGAUUUAGACUGAUUGCCAGGACAAGCCUUUAUCUGCAAGCUCACAGUCAGCAAUGGACUUGGUGGCAGAUGCUGACUUUCCCCAACACUGACCUUGUGAAUAGCCACACUGAUACAUACAUAUAUGCAUACUUGCAUAUCUAGAGAGAUAGAGGGAAGGGUAGCUGCAAAUAAAACCAUUAGCAAGUAGCCCACUACAGGGCUGGCCUUCCGCCACUGCACCAAAACUAUAGCGAACAGAUUGAUUAAUAAAUAAAAGUAGACAUUCCUAUUACUAGCUGAAGAUGUUUAAUAGAUGCAUUUGAGGAAGUGGACAUGAGUCCACAAAAGCUGAUGCCAUGAUAAGCUUGGUGGUCUUUAAGAUGUUACACGACUCUGUGAUUUUGCUGCAGUAGCUAAUAUGGUUACCCCACUGGAAGCCAAGAGAGAAGUAUCAUAAGCUAUUGAGGUGCACAGUAUCUUUAUUUAUUUUAUUUAUUUAUCUUGCCCCUUUUCCUUUCUUUUUUUAAAGAAUGCAAUGCAGCUUGCAUCAUUCUGCUCCUUCUGCUCUCAAUGUUAUCCCCACAACAACUAACCUUUGAUGUAGGUUGGCCUGAGAGUCUGUGAAUGGCCCCAAGUCACCCAGCUGGCUCCAUGGAUGACUGGGGCUAGAAUUCAGAUCUCCUGGGUCCCAGUCUCAGUAUCACACUUGUCCACACUGAGGACCACAUUGGAUGUCUUUGAGGGUGCCAGGGCCUACACAUCUGCACACAUGGGAACAUACAUGCCCAAUACACAUACACUGUACUCAUUCACACAUUCAGUUAUGCAUGAGUACACUAGUUCAUGUUCUUACAUGCAUCCCCCCAUACACACACACACACACACACACACACACAGACCUUUUCCCAAGUCCCAAGAAAGGGUCUUCCAUCACUAGUACUAAAGGAAAAUAAAAUCCUUUAACUCCAGUUGGAGAGACUGGAGAUUAGAAAGAGGUUUCCCAAUAGCUUGCAGAGGAAACCCUAGGUUUUCUCAGAGCAGCUGUAGCACUAUUAAAAUCUAUGUGCGGUCCCCAGGCUUCACAAGCCUCACUUGUCCACAGGUUGUGGAUCCUGCUAUCCAUCCAUCCAUCCAUCCAUCCAUGGAAAAGCAGAACUUAGGAGGUGAAGGUGAGGGUGCAGGGGUGUCAAACUGCAGACUGGGGCCAAGCUGACUUGCCUCUUUGCUUAUGGUUGCUACAUGAAACUCCCUUGAUGCUCAUGCUGUUUAUGCAAACUUCUGAUCAUUAGGUGAACCUAUUUAUGUGAAUUUCCAUUCAGGAGGGAAUGCAGAGGAGAAAAGAGUCUCGCUUUUGGCUCCCAUUACAGACUGAAGCAUGAGUGGCUUUAAGUUUCAGAUAUGAAAACACCUGAUAAAUGAGAGAGCAGACAAUCCCUUUGGCAUUGGCUCUGCUCCGAAGUAACAAGAAGGCGAUGCUCGGAACUGUAUAGAUUAUUGCAAGAGCUAAAGGUCUGGAUAUAUGACUUUAUGGAUAUUUGCUUUAUUAUCCGUGUGGGGUUUUGUGGACAAAGAAGGAAGGCAGGGAAAUGUCUGUCAGGACAAGCAGCUCAAUGUUUUACUUCCUGCUUGUGGAUUUAAGUCUUAUAUGUGAGCUGUCUGCAAUAUUAACAGACGGGUUUGCUUUUAAUAAUAUAAUAAUAAUUCAGUUUGCUUACAUUGACAGGCCUAUAAUCCUGCAGGCACAGGCAUAGGUGCUUUUCAGACUAGGUAAAAUAAAUAGCAUAGGACACCUUGUGCCCUUAGAUCACCAUGUGUUGGAAGGGGGUAUGCUGUUAUGCCUACUACCUGUGCAGUUGUAAUGCAUUCAACAGGGAUCUCGCAUAAAUAAAUACACAAAUUCCCCCAGUGAGUUGCACUAAAGUCUUAGAAGGAAAAUGAAAACAAUCUUUCAGCAGGUGUCUACAAAAUUUGGUAUUAACGUUCAAAAGUCCCUGUGAUUUUGCCUUAUAAUGGCAGAGAAGCAGGAACAUUCUGUUUCUACUCUAAAACCCAUGUGUGCCAUUUCAGGGUCCCCAUAUUCCAGCAUGCAUCUUGUGGAGCUUGGAUAUAAUCAUGGGGAUGAUUAAGAAUAAUUCAUUACAGUCAUAUAUGAAGAGGCGCCUUCCUAUGUUGGGAAGCCUGGGGUGUACCUUGCACAAGUAGCUUUACAUAACAAGAACUGCACACAGCAUAUAGUAUUCUAGGGAAUAAACCUUUGCUUGAUCCAGUUUAGAAGUUCAAAUGAACCUCGGCAAGAAAGGUUAUCUAACACGGCUUACCUACGGGCACCACUAACGCUGGGGCUGUGCAAUGGGCAAUGGCAUGAGAUGUGGUUAUUUGGCUUUCAUUGGAGAGAGCACUUGUUGCUUGGUGCUGAGGCAAAGAGGCAAAGAAGAAAGGAGGAUGUAAGAGAAAGGAACCAGCCAAGCUACAGGACACCAAGAGAGACAAGAAGGACAAGCAACUCUUGAUGCAACACACUCUCCAACAUCCUGGAGUGUCUGGAAGCGUGCAGAGCCGUUCCUUAAUCCAACAUGAUCUUAUUAUCCUCCAUCCUGCCUGUGCUAGAGUCCACAAAUCCAAAGGGGUUUUUUUCCACAGACCCUUGUGAAUAUUUUUGGUUAAUGGUUUGGUGAAUAUAUUCACAGUCUUGUCUGAUGUGGGACAAUAGAAUCACUUAACCCCUGUUGUUGUAGAUCUUCUAUUAUAUAAUGUUCCACAUAGACAGGUUGGGUGUGUGCCCUGCUUUUUUUCUGAGAGGAUGAGUCUUAUGCAACCUUGGCUGUUCUCAUAAAUCUGUGUAGGUAUGGGAUCAUCAGCUUCCAAGUAUUCAAGUAGGAGCUUCAGCCAUCAAAAUUGUCUGUGCGCUAAUUUGUCAGCUGUACUUUGGUAGGUUCUUCCUGGACUAAUGCUAUCAGGGCAUAUUAUAAACAUGUCUAGAGUAACUAUUUUUCUCCCUCCAUUGCCUUUGUUAUGUUUUUAUUAGCCCGAUUUUCCUGCCUAACACCUUAAUGUUAGCUAUCUAUUGUAAUGAGAACAAAUGGAAGCUUCACAGUACCUUUUAAUAAAUGCCAACAGAAAAUGUUUUAAUAAAGAUCUCUAUCAGAACAUAGCAAUUCUCAGACUAGACACAGGCGCCUCUUUAAUUUUGACCUUGUUUGGAACACAAUAGAUGCAAGUGAUAUUCUUUAAUGAACAUCAAAGUACUUUCCAAGGAACAAUGACAUAAGUGGCAGUAAAAGUACAGAUAAAAAAGCACAGCUAUUUUUUUUAAGGAGGGGUUCAAUUAUGAAUAUUUAGAUGAUCAGGGAGAAAUGUACAGGAGAACUAAUUUGGAAUGCAAUGAUUUGGGCACAUUCUGUGCUGCACAGACAUAUUUGUGUUAAGAACGUAUCAAGAGGCAUAGAACCAUAGCAUAAAUAACACUGCUGCACCAAGUGUCUUGAUAGGCAGGUUACAGACAACAGAGAAGCAGAGAUAAGGAAGGAAUUGGAAAAAUUCUGCCUAAGGACAGACUGCACAUGAUUGAAAAAGCACUGCUAAAAAUCUUCAGAGGUAAUCCUGGUCAGCUAACCUAGGUCCUCAUAAAAGGUUUUGGCUGAUUUAGGGCAAUCUCAUGUCACCCUCCGUCUUUCUAUAACUAAUUAUAUUGUAUGACUCCUAUCAUUGAAAUAUGUGGUACAGUCCUCUCAAAGAGUGGCAGUUUGCUGUGGACCUGAAGUACUUCCUCUCUGCCAGUGUGGCACCUCUGAGUGAAGGGGAGUGAAUUAGCAAUGUGCUGGUGGUGUGGCUGGAAGAGAUGCAUCAUCCAGUCAGUAGUGGUGUAGUGACAAAACUGUGAGGUGCAGGUGCUCAUCAGGAGAGUUCCCAAAGCCACACUCUCCAAGGAAAGUCCAAAAAUUCAGGCAGUUGGGCUGAUUCAAACCAAGAACAUCAGUUCAUGCCAUUUUCAUCCCUACCAGCAGGUUUUCUGCACACCGGAGAGGUCCUGCCAACCUUGCAGUUCAAAAGCAUGCAAAUGCAAGUAGAUAAAAAGUUAGCACAGGUAACAGCGUUCCAUGCACUUCGGCCACAUGACCACGGAGACUGUGGACAAACGCUGGCUCCCUUGGCUAGGAAACAGAGAUGAUCACCCUCCCCUAGAGUCAGGCAUGACUGGAUGUAACGUCAAGGGGAAACCUUUCCCUUUACCUUUAAGAGGUCUAAUUGCCCAUUCAAGCCAAGCCACCCCAACAUAUUUUGUAUUAGAAGGGGACAAUAUACCGUGGCCGGGGAUAUUCAUUUUCCCUCGGCUAGUAUCAGGAUUUCUGCUAAGCUCAUAGGGAAUCCUGAGCAGCAAUUAGGCAAUUGGUCAAGAAUUCCAGUGCUGCCUCCCUGGGAAUCCCAGCUCCAUGGCUCCACGGAAAGUCAAUGUGUGCCAAUGUGGUGCCCUCUAGAGGUUUUUGAACUAGAACUUCCAGCAGUCUAAGUCAGCUUGGUUCAUGGUGAGGGGUGCUGGGAAUUGCAGUACAAAACAUCCAAGCUGCAGUUAAAUGAAGUGAUUCCUCCAUUCACUUCCAUAGGUGGGGAGGAAAGUCCCCUUGGCUGGAGAUGUGGUGAAAUGCAUCCAACCACCACCACCACCACGACCUUUGAAUUUUCAGCAGAAGGUUUUGCUCCCUAUGCAAACCUAUUGACUUUGCAAAACAAGAUAUCAAAUAAGGUCCAAUGCAAUCUAUUCUACUGAACCAGCACUGUGGGUCUUCCUAUUGAGAAUAAUGUAUUUAUUAUUUAUAAUAAUAAAUGUAUUAUUUAUUUAUUGAACAGUAUUUAUGAAGGGCCCACAUUUAACACAUUUCUCAGUGAGUAUUGAACAAGUCUUUGCCCAGAGCAGGAGACCAUGUUUUUGGGGAUGUGUACUGGGAAAGGUAUGCUUUCUGUAGGUGCUGGAAAUCUGGAAAAGUUGUUUGACUAAUUGGUGAUGGGUGGAAGUUCCAGAGAGUGGAUGCUAUGACACUAAAGGCCUUAUUCUGAGCUAGGAGGGACCAGACCUCUGAAAUCUUGAGCAUCACCAGGAAGGGAUCUUCCAGUGGGUGCAGCACCAGGCAGGACAGUAGGUGAUCUCUUAAGUAUCCUGAUCCUGAGUUGUUUAUGGCAUUGCAAACAAGUACCAAAACCUUAAACCUGACCAGAAGAAUACAGGAACCAGUGCGGUUUCCUCAGUAUAGGUCUAAUAAACUGGUGAUAAGCCAGUGCGGUUCCCAACCUUGUUGUGGGUUGGUGCAGUGAACUGCAGCUUCUGGACCUCAAGCCUAGCCCCACAUACAGUAAACUUCAAUCAUCCAGUUUGGAGAUUGCCAGUGCAGGCAGCACAGUGGUCAGAAAGGGCCAUAAACAACUGUCCUUCCCAGUCUCUGACAAUGCCUGUGUGUCCAGUGACAGCCCUGGAGUGGUACCAUCUCACAGGACAGGAUCCUGUCCUUAGUACAACAGGUCAUAUGCUGGAGUUUCUGUGAAAUACAGAUGUGCCUGUGAAAUACUGAAUAAUCAUGUCAUCUUCAGAAAAUACUCCUGCAAGGUCAACUGGGGAGACGUUGUCCUGUCCUGUAGCCAGCAUUAAGCACCACGUGUGAGUGAGCUGCACAUCAUGACCUUUUCUCCCUCUGAAGCAGUGAACAUUCUUUCCACCAGUCUGGUACGUGUGACUGCAUGGUUAAGUUUGUGACAGCCCAAGAACAUCAAGUGGGUGUGAGUGACUAACGAUAGCUUGUCUUCGGGCUCUGAUUUGAGUGAGUCCUGCUUUCACAACCAUGUGCCUACCCAGGAAGUGCUCCUGAUGCAGCACUGUGCUGGGAGGCUGUGCUUCCCCAGUCUUUGCCAUCCAUUACCAGGAGCUCCUGCCUUGGGGCUUGCACACCAGGUGAAGUGCAGGCAAGAAGACUUCUGGUUGUGCCCCUGCUGCUGUUCACACUAAGCCCUCAGAGCAGAGGGAAAACACCAGGCAAGUGGAGGAAGUGGCUCUGUCUCCUAUUAUUGCUGCUUGCAUCAUCUGAAAGGGCAGGUGAGCAGGCAGUGACAGCAGGAAAGAGGAACAACGCUUGGACAGAAGCAUCUAGGUUUCAGCAGUGGGCCUCCUGCAGGGCUGUAAACCUUGGCAAGUGCCCGGAGAUGCCAACCCAUCAUGUCAAUCUUACGCGAGACUUCUAAUAUGGUAGACAAGUACAACAUCAUCCUCUUCUUGCUGAGAACAGCUGUACCUUUGGAAUUUAGCUGGUGCAGAUGGGUGAGAAUUGUGUUUCAGUUCAUUUUUUAAGGUAAGGUUUUAGCAAAAUUUGUAAAGUUCUUCCUGUUUGGAAGACAUGGAACUUGAGAUUUAAAAAGAAGAACGGGAAAAAGGAAGCUGAGAAAUCCAUCUCUCUCUGGAUGUGUUCUGCUGAGGUGCCCUGGUGUGCUGUUUGAUGCCACUUGUAUCUCCACUGAGAUGGUGUAGGAAGAUCCCCCAAAUGGAGUACCUCACCUUUCAAGGAACUGCAACUCUAACCAAGAGGGAUUGAACACAAAUAUUCACUUAACUCCUGUUUUGUAGGGUGAUGGAUGAAACUUAAAAUUGCAAUGGCAUUCCAUGUGUAUCUACUGACUGAACUCCUCAAUGGGUCUUUUCUACUGUUGAGUAUUCUACAGAUGUGAACCUUCCUGUAUAUAAAACCACUAUGCAGUUAUAUCCUAAAGAGCACUUCACAUAUGAUGUAAAGUUCACAUUUUACAAAUUGCCCAAAUCUUUCAGAAAUCGUAGAAAGGUAAGAAUAUCUGAUGCAUCAUACACCAUCAGACAAUUGAAUUUCAAGUGGAUUUUGCUGUAUGAUCCUUCAAAAACCCUUCUGAUUUUGCAUUCCGGCUUGUUUAGCUAACAACUUUGUUUAAAGCAAAGGCACACAUAUUAGGAAACUUUUGAUGACUGAAAGCAUUUCUACUUUAUCUCAUGCUUCAUUUUACAACAUAUAUUUCUGUGGUUCAUUCACAAAACCACAAAUGCCAUUGAACCUCAUGCUGUCCAACUUGUUUGAUGCAACUUGACCAUUGAUGUUUUAGGUAUCAUUAAAAACACUUGGCAUGUUGAAACCUGCCACCAGCUUUGAAGUUCUUCUGGUACAUGGCCAGCUACUGAAAGAUUUUCUAAUUCAAACUAGUUAGGUGGAAAUCCUUUGACAGUUUUAUGAAUCUUGUUGAAGGCAUUAGCUAUUUCUUUAGAUUUUUAGACUGCUCUGAUGCCUUCAGCAGGAUUCAUCACCUAAUGCCUUCCAGUUGUUUUAGACUACAAAUCCCAGCAUUCUUUACCAUUAACUUUGCUGGCUAUGGUUGGAAUUGAAGUCCUAAACAUCAGGAGUGUUCCAGCUUGUUUCAGGCUUCCUUUUAAGGCAUAAUAACAUCUUUUAGCACAGGGAAUAUAGUUAGAAAUAUAUAGCCAAGAUACAACACCACAACUUCCACUUCCUCAAUAAUAUGUCUGGCUACAGCUUUCCUGAAAGUCAAAUACAAUGGCCCUGCAUCACAGCGAUGAGGUUCUGAAACUUUGGGAUGGUGCACACAGAGUGACCAUUACAUCAGAGAUAUUUUAAUUCCAUCCCUCUGGUACCACCAUAACAAGGCUAUUUUUCUACCCUUCUGUGUCAGCUGUCUUCUGUUGCAUGUUAUUAUUGUGUGUUGGGAUAAGGGGCGUUUCUUCAUACCACCUCCAACUUUCAAAACUCCAGCUUCCAACACACAAGCUUAUAAAAUGUCCAUGAUUCAGUGGAAGACCACAUGCUUUGCAAAAAUGAGAUUACAGGUUUAGUCCCAGUGCCUCCAGUUAGAAUCAAAAGCAAAACAAAAUCUUAUGAAACACUGAUGACAGACUUGCCUUGUGCAUUCAAGAAAUUAUAUACUCCAGACUUAAUAUUUCAAUGAAGGGUCUCUAGAUAAGGGGUGCUGUCCCUCAGUAAGCCUAGGGCCCAAAUUCAAUUGCAGAGAAGUUCAUGGGGCCCACAUUCUAAGGGUGGGUAGAGUCAAAACAAAGGGGGUGUCACCAUCUGAGGAACCUGGAGGAGCAGGAACAGGUUGGCAUGCCAGGCAGGCCUGACUUGACCCAUGGGCUGGCGAUUCAGCACUUCUGCUUUAGAUUGUCAUGUGCUUACCUCAGAAGAUGGGAAGCUAGCCCUGCUGCAUUUGCAAGCCCUCCUGCUUAUUCUCUUUACUGGGGCCCUGGACAUCUAUGGCAGAGUCCUGUCUGGACUACUGCCCUUAUUGAGUCACUGACAGUUACAGUGCUGCAGUAUACAUUAAUGAUAACAUACGGCAAUCCCAUGCCUUAUAGCAAGAAGUCCAGAGGAAGACCAUUGAAAGAGUCCAGAUCGCCUGUUUCCAGUUAAAUAAUCAGGGCUGAAACAGAUUUCUGGCUGGAGACCCUACUUGAAUACCACCAGUCAUUCAUUUGAAAAUGUGAUUGAUCAAUCUAUUGAAUAUAUAUACCACCCAACUGGCAGAUACCCUUGGGGUAGUUUACCAUAAUAACAAGAAAAUUUGUUAAGUGCAAUAAUAACAAAAAGAAGGAACACAACAAUAAAAUGCCAAAACAUUACAAUAUCAAACCUUUAAAAUAUUAGAGAGACCGUGGUAUAGUUAACAAUCAAAGCAAUAGAUAAAUUAUUACAUGCCUGCUAAAAGAAAAAGGCCUGAACCUGGAGUCUAAUGUAUACAGGGAAGAUACCAGGCAGAUCUACCUGGGAAGGACAUUCUGCAGUCUGGAAGCCACACCAGGGAAGUCUUCUCUGGUAGCUGCCCGUCACACCAUUGUUGACAGCAACGCUCAGGGAACAGCCCCUAAAGGCUCUAAACGGCUUAGGACCUGGCUACUUAAAGGACUGCCUUCUCCUGCAUAGACCUGCCUGACCACUAAGAUCUGCGCAGGAGGUCCUUCUAGAGGAGGCAUCCCUCAAAAUGGUUAUAGGACUGGCAAAAAGAAGAGCUUCUAGGUGGCUGCACCCCACUUACGGAAUGAGAUCUGUAGAGAAAUUUGCCUGGUGCCAACAUUACUCUCUUUCUGGCACCAGGCAAAAACGUUUCUCUUUUCUAGGUAUUUUAAUCAUUAAAAAUUUAACAACUAGUUUAAUGUUUAUAUUAAUUGUCCAUUUAGGUUCUCCCCCAUGGUCUUAGUACUUUAUCAUAAUGACCUAUUUAUUGUUGUUGAGAUACUAUGAGUAACUAUUUAAUGUUUUUAUUGUAUUGAAUCAUUUCUAUUGUUGUAAUGAGUAUGUUAUUUUUAAAUAUUGUAAGCCACCCAGAGACUCCAUUAGGAGCAGGGGGUGGCUUAUAAAAGUAAAAAUAAAUAAAUGGAUAAAGGUGAUCUUACCGAUUGGGCAGGAACAUAUGGGGAAAGGUAUCCUUUCAAGAUGAGUGGUUCGAAGCCAGUUAGGGCUUUAGACAUGAAUUGGGCCCAGAAACUGGCAACCAAUGCCAUUUACAUGGCACUGGAGUAAUAUGUUCAAAAUGGCCAACCCUGGUAAACACUACUGAAUUCUGUACUAACUAAAGUUGCCAGGCCAUCCUCAAAGGUAGUCCCACAUCUGAAGCAUUGCAAUAAUCCAGGUGGGAGAUGUACAGUUACCUGGGUAUGGACAAGUAUAGCCAGGCUGUCUCUGUGCAGGUAGGCUUAAAAAUACAACUGCUCUAAGUUCCCAAGUGCAGCAAUGCAUCCUUCUCCCCACCACUUUUGAUUUUAUACUUUGGUGCCUAAAUAGUAAUGCAACAUGGGGAAAAGGUACCAUCCUUAAUAAAAACUCUGGUGACGGGGGACUUCCCUUGUGUUCUCCGACUCAAAAGAGUGUGGCUAACUUGCUGCUCAAGCUGGAAAAGCUACUCGCAGUUGAAAUUUUCUCUGGUCUGAGGACUUUUUCAUGGCUCUUCUCCCAGGUUCUGUGGAAGCAACCACCAUGUUCUGAUCUUCAAGGAGCUUUGAGUGCAUUCUUUGCUCUGGGAAGCUUUCAGAUCAUCUGCCAUGUGCAUGUAGGUGCAUGCACAUGGAGCAAAUCCUAUUUAGCAUCACUUGCCCUAGAGCAUGACUGGGUUUUCCUGAUUAUUGCCUCUAAUAGCUCAUUAUCAAGGCCACCAAGUAAUGAAGAAAGAGUUAACGAAAUGUUCCUUCUGAUGAGCAUACUGAAAAGUACUUUGUUUCAUGGGCUUUCAGAGGCUAGAUGGGUUUCAUUCUCCUCUGUUUCACUUUUAAAACUUCCUGGCUUUUCUUUCACAAAUCACAAGUUUGUCUCCUUCCGGAAAAGCUUUGCCUUUGUUUUGGUGACCUGCAUUCGUUAGUCUCCUAAUUAGCACGCAGCACCGGCAUCUAUUCUCCUGAAAAUGGCUGGACUGCCUUGAGAUCCAAACAUAAAACCGGAAACAUUUUGGCAAAAGCCUGGAGUAAACAAAAGCAGAGCACUGAGAAGCUCGUUUAAGCAAAUUGUGUGUGUGUGUUUUCAGUGUGGCUUCUUGUAAAAUCUCUAGUCCAGCAGCUCAUAGAAUAAAUUAAUCACAACACUUGUUUUAAUGUAAUUAUUCAUGAGUUCACUGUUAAACUCAUGAAUAGUUGCAUUAAGACAAGUGGUUGACAUUCUGAAAGGGCAAUCUUUUCUAUUCCAUACGUGUGUGUGUGUGUGUGUGUGUGUGUGUUCAACAUAUUUCAACAUAUACAUACAUACAUAUAUGUAUGUUUUCAAAAAUAUAUGUUUUCAAGGUUUAUUUAGAUAUUCUUAUUGUGGGUUUUCACAUGCUGAUGAAUUGAGCAGAAAUCUGAAUGAAUGAAUGAACAAAUAAACAAACUGUUAUUCAGC